UACGUAGGGUGCGAGCGUUGUCCGGAAUUAUUGGGCGUAAAGGGCUCGUAGGCGGUUUGUCGCGUCGGGAGUGAAAACACUGGGCUUAACUCAGUGCUUGCUUCCGAUACGGGCAGACUAGAGGUAUGCAGGGGAGAACGGAAUUCCUGGUGUAGCGGUGAAAUGCGCAGAUAUCAGGAGGAACACCCGUAGCGAAGGCGGUUCUCUGGGCCGGUACUGACGCUGAGGAGCGAAAGCGUGGGGAGCAAACAGG
This 253-nucleotide ribosomal RNA is filed under the name uncultured bacterium. Its description in RNAcentral is "partial 16S ribosomal RNA". It matches the Rfam family "Bacterial small subunit ribosomal RNA", at positions 524 to 776 of the family's 1533-position model. The record is from RNAcentral.